GUGCCAGCAGCCGCGGUAAUACGGAGGAUGCGAGCGUUAUCCGGAUUUAUUGGGUUUAAAGGGUGCGCAGGCGGAUAGUUAAGUCAGCGGUGAAAUGUCCCGGCUCAACCGGGGAGCUGCCGUUGAUACUGGCUGUCUGGAGUACGGACGGCGCCGGCGGAAUGUGUCAUGUAGCGGUGAAAUGCUUAGAUAUGCCACAGAACACCGAUCGCGAAGGCAGCUGGCGAGGCCGGUACUGACGCUCAGGCACGAAAGCGUGGGGAUCAAACAGGAUUAGAUACCCUGGUAGUCCACGCAGUAAACGAUGAGGACUUGUUGUCGGCGAUAGAGUGUCGGUGACAAAGCGAAAGCGAUAAGUCCUCCACCUGGGGAGUACGAUCGCAAGGUUGAAACUCAAAGGAAUUGACGGGGGCCCGCACAAGCGGAGGAGCAUGUGGUUUAAUUCGAUGAUACGCGAGGAACCUUACCUGGACUCAAAUGUUGGAUGACCGGUUCAGAAAUGGGCCCUUCCUUCGGGACAUCCAGCAAGGUGCUGCAUGGUUGUCGUCAGCUCGUGCCGUGAGGUGUCAGGUUAAGUCCUAUAACGAGCGCAACCCCUACGCCCAGUUGCCAGCGGGUAGAGCCGGGGACUCUGGGGGAACUGCCUACGCAAGUAGAGAGGAAGGUGGGGAUGACGUCAAAUCAGCACGGCCCUUACGUCCAGGGCGACACACGUGCUACAAUGGCCGGUACAGAGGGCAGCCACCCUGCGAGGGGGAGCGAAUCUCGAAAGCCGGUCUCAGUUCGGAUCGGAGUCUGCAACUCGACUCCGUGAAGUUGGAUUCGCUAGUAAUCGCGCAUCAGCCAUGGCGCGGUGAAUACGUUCCCGGGCCUUGUACACACCGCCCGU
This 889-nucleotide ribosomal RNA is filed under the name uncultured bacterium. Its description in RNAcentral is "bacterial SSU rRNA". It matches the Rfam family "Bacterial small subunit ribosomal RNA", at positions 505 to 1397 of the family's 1533-position model. The record is from RNAcentral.